GGUAGGAGCAAUCCCUUGGGGCCAAGCUUCCAUGCCUAACCUCACUUCCCUCUGCCUUCCUCCAGCAGGUGCCUCUGCAAAGCUGCAAAGCUUAAAGACCCACAGGUAGAAAAAUCCACCAUGUGCACACCCCACUGCUUUAAUCUCCAGGGCACCACUUAACCUGGAGGUGUGUUUAUUGAAGAGACACCAGGCAGUGGUUCUGAAGGCUGUCAUAGGGAUCGACCCCCCCUUAGGAAUGAACGCAUUAUGAACCAACCUUAAAUCUGCUAUACACAUGUGCUGUUGCUGGGGGCCACCCUGGCAGGCUAAGACCUUCUGAGGCGGGGCCUGAGUCCCAACUUCUCCCCCUGUCUUGUCCCGUCUCCACUGUUCAGUACAGGCGUGUUGAAUAAAUGAAUGGAUAAACACUGA
Long non-coding RNA from Mastomys coucha (southern multimammate mouse), 414 nucleotides. RefSeq lists it as uncharacterized. The transcript is spliced from 2 exons. NCBI's taxonomy places the organism in Eukaryota, Metazoa, Chordata, Mammalia, Rodentia, Muridae. The record is from RefSeq and is a predicted model, not a curated record.